UACGUAGGCUGCGAGCGUUGUUCGGAAUUACUGGGCGUAAAGAGUGUGUAGGCGGUGUUCCCAGUCUGUUGUGAAAUCUCCCGGCUUAACUGGGAGGGUGCAGCGGAAACUAGAAUGCUAGAGGGUGGGAGAGGUAAGCGGAAUUCCUGGUGUAGCGGUGAAAUGCGUAGAUAUCAGGAGGAACACCUGUGGUGUAGACAGCUUACUGGACCACUUCUGACGCUGAGACACGAAAGCGUGGGUAGCAAACAGG
This 253-nucleotide ribosomal RNA is filed under the name uncultured bacterium. RNAcentral describes it as "partial 16S ribosomal RNA". It matches the Rfam family "Bacterial small subunit ribosomal RNA", at positions 524 to 776 of the family's 1533-position model. The record is from RNAcentral.